GACGAACGCUGGCGGCGUGCUUAACACAUGCAAGUCGAACGGAAAGGCCUGUCCUUCCUUGUGUUGGCCGGGUACUCGAGUGGCGAACGGGCGAGUAUCACGUGAGCUAUCUGCCCCCAACUUUGGUAUAAGCCUGGGAAACUGGGUCUAAUUCCCGCUUGGACCGCAGGGUGGUGUCUGUAGUGGCAAACGUUUUUCUAGUGGUCGGGGAUUAGCUCGCGGCUUAUCAGCUUGUUGGUGGGGUAAUGGCCUACGAAGACGGCGACUGGAAGCCUGCCUGGGGUGGUGGACGGCAGAAGUGGGACGGCGACACGGCGCAGAAGCCUAGGGGAGGAAGCAGUGGGGAAGAAUGAGCAGUGAGCAGAAGCCAGAUGCAGCGACGCCGAGUGGGGGAUGACGGGCUUCGGAUUGUAAACUCCUGGCGACCGCGAGGAAGCGGCCUGGUUGGAAGGGUGGUGACGGUAGUGGUAGAAGAAGCACUGGCUAACUACGUG
RNAcentral lists this ribosomal RNA (494 nucleotides) under uncultured bacterium. Its description in RNAcentral is "partial 16S ribosomal RNA". It matches the Rfam family "Bacterial small subunit ribosomal RNA", at positions 28 to 507 of the family's 1533-position model. The record is from RNAcentral.